CGUGCCUAAUACAUGCAAGUCGAGCGAGCGGAACCAACAGAUUUACUUCGGUAAUGACGUUGGAAAAGCGAGCGGCGGAUGGGUGAGUAACACGUGGGGAACCUGUCCCUAAGUCUGGGAUACCAUUUGGAAACAGGUGCUAAUACCGGAUAAUAAAGCAGAUCGCAUGAUCAGCUUUUGAAAGGCGGCGUAAGCUGUCGCUAAGGGAUGGCCCCGCGGUGCAUUAGCUAGUUGGUAAGGUAACGGCUUACCAAGGCGACGAUGCAUAGCCGAGUUGAGAGACUGAUCGGCCACAUUGGGACUGAGACACGGCCCAAACUCCUACGGGAGGCAGCAGUAGGGAAUCUUCCACAAUGGACGCAAGUCUGAUGGAGCAACGCCGCGUGAGUGAAGAAGGUUUUCGGAUCGUAAAGCUCUGUUGUUGGUGAAGAAGGAUAGAGGUAGUAACUGGCCUUUAUUUGACGGUAAUCAACCAGAAAGUCACGGCUAACUACGUGCCAGCAGCCGCGGUAAUACGUAGGUGGCAAGCGUUGUCCGGAUUUAUUGGGCGUAAAGCGAGCGCAGGCGGAAAAAUAAGUCUAAUGUGAAAGCCCUCGGCUUAACCGAGGAACUGCAUCGGAAACUGUUUUCCUUGAGUGCAGAAGAGGAGAGUGGACCUCAUGUG
Molecule: ribosomal RNA, 664 nt
Filed under: Lactobacillus amylovorus
Lineage: Bacteria; Bacillati; Bacillota; Bacilli; Lactobacillales; Lactobacillaceae
Description: bacterial SSU rRNA
Rfam family: Bacterial small subunit ribosomal RNA
Source: RNAcentral